This is a non-coding RNA of Vigna umbellata (rice bean), 310 nucleotides long. Lineage: Eukaryota; Viridiplantae; Streptophyta; Magnoliopsida; Fabales; Fabaceae. The record is from RefSeq and is a predicted model, not a curated record.
ACCUUUUAUUAUUGUUUUUAUAGAUCUGUUUUUGAUGUAACCAAGGGAAAAUCUCAUUAUGGGUCAGGAGGGGGCUACAAUCAUUUUGCUGGAAGGGAUGCUUCUCGUGCAUUUGUGUCUGGAAAUUUCACAGGAGAUGGUCUCACUGACUCACUGCGCGGUCUAUCUAGCAUUGAGGUGAAGAGUAUUGUCGAAUGGAGGGAUUUCUACCAUAAAUCUUAUAAGUAAGUCAUAUUUUCUGACAUCUGUUAUUUUGCUUUAGCUAACUUUUAAGUAGUUGGUUAAAGUCAUGAAUAUUUUGGAAUGCAUC